This 253-nucleotide ribosomal RNA is filed under the name uncultured bacterium. RNAcentral describes it as "partial 16S ribosomal RNA". It matches the Rfam family "Bacterial small subunit ribosomal RNA", at positions 524 to 776 of the family's 1533-position model. The record is from RNAcentral.
GACGUAGGGCGCGAGCGUUGUCCGGAUUGAUUGGGCGUAAAGAGCUCGUAGGCGGCUCGUUGCGUCGGCUGUGAAAACCCGCAGCUCAACUGUGGGCCUGCAGCUGAUACGGGCGGGCUGGAGUUCGGUAGGGGAGACUGGAAUUCCUGGUGUAGCGGUGAAAUGCGCAGAUAUCAGGGGGAACACCGGUGGCGAAGGCGGGUCUCUGGGCCGAUACUGACGCUGAGGAGCGAAAGCGUGGGGAGCGAACAGG